GGCGAACGGGUGAGUAACACGUGGGUAACCUGCCUUUGGCUCUGGGAUAACUCCGGGAAACCGGGGCUAAUACCGGAUAUGACCUGGUCUCGCAUGGGGUUGGGUGGAAAGUUCUGUGUCUGUUGUGGGCAUGGUUCGGCUGGAGAUGGGCCCGCGGCCUAUCAGCUUGUUGGUGGGGUGAUGGCUUACCAAGGCUUUGACGGGUAGCCGGCCUGAGAGGGUGAUCGGCCACACUGGGACUGAGACACGGCCCAGACUCCUGCGGGAGGCAGCAGUGGGGAAUAUUGCGCAAUGGGCGGAAGCCUGACGCAGCGACGCCGCGUGGGGGAUGACGGCCUUCGGGUUGUAAACCUCUUUCACCAGGGACCAAGGCUUUUGGGUUGAGUGUACCUGGAGAAGAAGCACCGGCUGACUACGUGCCAGCAGCCGCGGUAAUACGUAGGGUGCGAGCGUUGUCCGGAUUUAUUGGGCGUAAAGGGCUCGUAGGCGGCUGGUCGCGUCGGAAGUGAAAGCCCAUGGCUUAACUGUGGGUCUGCUUCCGGUACGGGCCGGCUGGAGUGUGGCAGGGGAGACUGGAAUUCCUGGUGUAGCGGUGGAAUGCGCAGAUAUCAGGAGGAACACCGGUGGCGAAGGCGGGUCUCUGGGCCAUUACUGACGCUGAGGAGCGAGAGCGUGGGGAGCGAACAGGAUUAGAUACCCUGGUAGUCCACGCUGUAAACGUUGGGCGCUGGGUGUGGGGCCUGUUUCCACGGGUUCCGUGCCGUAGCUAACGCAUUAAGCGCCCCGCCUGGGGAGUACGGCCGCAAGGCUAAAACUCAAAGGAAUUGACGGGGGCCCGCAC
RNAcentral lists this ribosomal RNA (841 nucleotides) under uncultured bacterium. RNAcentral's name for it is "bacterial SSU rRNA". It matches the Rfam family "Bacterial small subunit ribosomal RNA", at positions 97 to 926 of the family's 1533-position model. The record is from RNAcentral.